RNAcentral lists this ribosomal RNA (221 nucleotides) under uncultured bacterium. Its description in RNAcentral is "partial 16S ribosomal RNA". It matches the Rfam family "Bacterial small subunit ribosomal RNA", at positions 524 to 737 of the family's 1533-position model. The record is from RNAcentral.
UACGGAGGAUCCAAGCGUUUAUCCGGAAUCAUUGGGUUUUUAAAGGGUCCGUAGGCGGUUUUAGUAAGUCAGUGGUGAAAGCCCAUCGCUCAACGGUGGAACGGCCAUUGAUUACUGCCAGACUUGAAUUAUUAGGAAGUAACUAGAAUAUGUAGUGUAGCGGUGAAAUGCUUUAGAGAUUACAUGGAAUACCAAUUUGCGAAGGCAGGUUACUACUAAUG